This is a long non-coding RNA of Talpa occidentalis (Iberian mole), 796 nucleotides long. RefSeq lists it as uncharacterized. Lineage: Eukaryota; Metazoa; Chordata; Mammalia; Eulipotyphla; Talpidae. The transcript is spliced from 4 exons. The record is from RefSeq and is a predicted model, not a curated record.
AGUUAGCUAUUGUUGCAUCACAGAUUACCAACCCAAACUCAGCAGCUUAAACACAUUUAUUAUUUCAGUUUUCAAGGUUCAGGAAUUUGGAAGCAGCUUAGCUGGAAGUUUCUGGCUUCAGGUUUCUCAUGAGGUUUCAGUGGAGCAGCAGCCAGAUUCCAUUACCAUCUCCAUCUGAAGAGCUCUCAGGUGCCAAAGACUACAAUUCCCAGCAUGUCGUGACUCUGACUUCCUGAAUGGGGGUAGUGCUGCUUGGUUUAUACUGAAUACAUGUAGGCUUGGCCUCUCUUGCUUUUCAGGCUGUCAACUAAAACCCUGGUGUCUCAGCUCAGAUGGUGGUACUGGUUGGAAUUCAUCAAGACAAAACAAGAGAUCCCAGGAACAAGGAAAUUAAAAGCUCAAGAGAUGGAAGACCUCAUGGAAAGAAGAACAAAGAAAGGACCUCAAACCUUUAAUUAUGCUGAGUUAAAACUACUUAAAUAGAGCCUCCACCUCUUUUUCAAGAAGCAGUAAUACAGAUCCUGUACCCGAUGCUGAUCCCCUCAUGCUGAAUUGUGGCCUCCCCUGUGGCGCAAUGGGUUGAGCGCAGCGCUGUGAAGUUGUCCACAUCCUCUGCAACGCGGGUUUGAUUCCCAGCGGGCCAAGGAAAUACCCACACGGAGCAGACCUCUCCUGUCUCGCCCGCUGCUCCCCUCAACAGUUUACUUCAGUCAGUAUGCCUGUUCUGUUCCCUAUUCUGUCUCUGGUGAAUCCUCUCACCUCCCACACCGCUGGCCUGUACCCCAGUUCUUAUAUA